CUGAAGUCGUAGGGCAAGAUCUGAACAAACUGAGAAAGGGGCUUGCUUUUGGCCUUCUCAAGAGACUUGAUCGCUUCUUUCCCGAGGUCGCUGGGUAGCUGGAGGCAGAUCCAGUCGAGCAACGAGUCUAAGUCCUUUGCGAAGUCGAGGAGGUACCAGUCGAGCAGCUUUGGGAUGCCAAACUUCGUCGGGGAAAUCCCUACUGAAGCCUGCAGGGCAACUUACAGCAGGGGAGGACCAGCUCCCGCAGGAGAGUGCAAAUGUCACAAGCGGCUCUGAGAGUUCUAGCCCGAACAUGCUCCUCGCUGUCAUCUCAUUGUUCUUUGUACCUUUUGGGAAGUUCUGCUAGAAACUCAGGGUGUUAGGAACUUGAUAAUCAAGAUUUCACCUUAAAUAAGAAAAAUAAAUAAAGAAAAACGUUCUAGACUUCUUACGUAUUUCGAAUGAUAAGGAAGUCUCAGGAUGAAAUGUUCAAUCGUAAUGGGAUUCAGUGAAUGACCCCCAACAUUAAUCGUUGCCUGCACAAAUUCGAUUGGUGAUGUAAUAAGCAUUUAAUCCCAUGAUCAACAAAAAAAUUUCGUAUCA
Punica granatum (pomegranate) is the source of this 585-nucleotide non-coding RNA. NCBI's taxonomy places the organism in Eukaryota, Viridiplantae, Streptophyta, Magnoliopsida, Myrtales, Lythraceae. The record is from RefSeq and is a predicted model, not a curated record.